Non-coding RNA from Zonotrichia albicollis (white-throated sparrow), 1108 nucleotides. Lineage: Eukaryota; Metazoa; Chordata; Aves; Passeriformes; Passerellidae. The record is from RefSeq and is a predicted model, not a curated record.
UCGGGCCGCUCAUCCGACACCUGCCGGGUGAGACCUGAUGCUCUCCUUCCUCUCCCCCGCUUUCUCUGUGGCUCGCUCUACCCAAGUUUGGAGGGAGAGGGACGUGGGAGGAAGGGGCAGAAGAAAAGGAAUACAGGGAGAAGGAAGGAGGGCUGGGGGGGCAGAGGGACGGGGGAGAAGAAAGGGGAAUACGAGGAAAGGAGUUGUAGAGGGGAGAGAGGAGCAGUGGUUUUUGGGGGGCCGAGGAAAGGGAAAAAUGGGGAGGAAAAAGGGGAAUACGGGGAGAAGGAAGGAGGACUAGGUGGGGGGGAAGGCGCGGAGGUUUUGGAGGCAGAGGGAAGGGGGAGAAAGAAGAGGAAUACGGGAAGGAGGGGGAGAGGUGGGGAAGCCGAAGCCCCCACGACUCACCUGGGAAGCCGGGACAAGCAGCUGCUACCCUCACGCGCUCAUAGUGAGUAAACGGCCGCCCGGCGAUGUCCGGGGCUUAAAUCACCUCGGCCCCACCCCGCGCACCUGUGUCGGGCCCUGCCUCCCGGGACUCUCCGGGGUUCCGCGAAAGUCAGCUGUGCUUAAUGUGCAGGUCAGUGGCAAUACCUGGAUUUAUCUCUUCUAUCCCCAGAGCCAAGCAGUCAGUCCGGCAUUCCUGCCUACUCUGAUGCCAGCCACUGUCUUGUGUUCCAACUCACUCCUCAGAUGGAAAAGGACUGGGACCAUAACUGCUGAACGCUACUGGCAGUGAGGCUUCUUUCCAGCUGGGUGCUGCUGUAUCCCAGGCUCCGCGGCGUGGCUGGAUGCAGGCUGGACACGCAGGUAAGGCUAGGGCUCAAAAACUGUGGGCGGUGAGGUGAAAGUUUGUUUUGGCAAGUGGUGUCAUCUUGCUUGGAUGCUGGGGAGCAGGCUGGGGCAGAGCUGCAGGUCAGUGGAACCAGCCCUGCUCCAGCAGUGCUGUCACCAUGUCACUGCACUGGGGCAAGCACAAAUCUGUCACCUUUAAUCUGCCAGAAAACAGAUGCAACUCAGACAUUAUAGAUUAGGCAUGCAACAUGUCAUUGGUAACAAAAUGAAUUAGAUAGCAGUGUAUAUUAAAUAAGUUUUUGUAAGUAAAAAA